CCCCCGAAACUAGGUGAGCCACUUUCGAAAUAGCUNUAGAGCUAACCCGUCUCUGUUGCAAAAGAGUGGGAAAAUUUCCAAGUCGGGGCGAUAAACCUACCGCACCAAGAGAUAGCUGGUUACUCAAGAAAAGAAUAUUAGUUCUACCUCAAGUUUAUUAGUCCCCAUAAACCUCAACUAAACUUAAGAGCUAUUCAAAUAAGGCACAGCUUAUUUGAAAAAGGGUACAACCUCUUACAUUGGGUAAUUUACCAAGAAAAAUUGUCAAGUGGGCCUAAAAGCAGCCACCUUUUAAAAAGCGUUAAAGCUUCACUAUUAUUCUUGUAAAAUAACCUUAUUAACAUACAACCCAUUAUUAAUAUUGAGUAACUCCAUAAAAAUAUGGAAGAUAUAAUGCUAGAACUAGUAACAAGAAGCUGAGCUUCUCCAAAAUGUAAGCUUAAGCCACCUUAGACAAACUAUUGGCAAUUAACGUUUAUGAAUUCACUUUAUCAACCACACAAGAAAACCUUAAAUAUCUUAACGUUAAACUUACACCAGAACAUUUAUGGAAAGAUCAAAAGAAAAAGAAGGAACUCGGCAAACACUAACCCCGCCUGUUUACCAAAAACAUCGCCUCUUGUCUAAAUCUAAGAGGUCCAGCCUGCCCAGUGACAAAUUUAACGGCCGCGGUACCCUAACCGUGCAAAGGUAGCAUAAUCACUUGUUCUCUAAAUAAGGACUUGUAUCAACGGCACCACGAGGGUUAAACUGUCUCCUUUUUCAUAUCAGUGAAACUAAUCUCCCCGUGAAGAAGCGGGAAUAAUUCUAUAAGACGAGAAGACCCCAUGGAGCUUUAAACCCAACUACACCCCCUUCAACCCAACCUUUAAAAUUAUGGGGCCCUGUAUGUUCUGGUUUUAGGUUGGGGUGACCACGGAGCAUAAACUAGCCUCCACAAUGAACAAGACUCCUCUCUUUAUCUAAGACCCACACCUCUAAGAAUUAGCACUCUAACAUAAAAUGAUCCGAUAUUCGAUCAACGAAC
Molecule: ribosomal RNA, 1027 nt
Filed under: Guibemantis methueni
Lineage: Eukaryota; Metazoa; Chordata; Amphibia; Anura; Mantellidae
Description: partial 16S ribosomal RNA
Rfam family: Bacterial large subunit ribosomal RNA
Source: RNAcentral